CCUACGGGAGGCAGCAGUGAGGAAUAUUGGUCAAUGGACGAAAGUCUGAACCAGCCAAGUAGCGUGAGGGAUGACUGCCCUCUGGGUUGUAAACUUCUUUUCUAGAGGAAUAAAACGAGGCACGUAUGCCUUUUUGCAUGUACUUUAUGAAUAAGGAUCGGCUAACUCCGUGCCAGCAGCCGCGGUAAUACGGAGGAUCCGAGCGUUAUCCGGAUUUAUUGGGUUUAAAGGGAGAGUAGAUGGGUUGUUAAGUCAGUUGUGAAAGUUUGCGGCUCAACCGUAAAAUUGCAAUUGAUACUGGCAGUCUUGAGUACAGUAGAGGGAGGCGGAACUCGUGGUGUAGCGGUGAAAUGCUUAGAUAUAACGAAGAACCCCGAUUGCGAAGGCAGCUUACUAGACUGUGACUGACACUGAUGCUCGAAAGUGUGGGUAUCAAACAGGAUUAGAUACCCGGGUAGUC
RNAcentral lists this ribosomal RNA (460 nucleotides) under uncultured bacterium. Its description in RNAcentral is "partial 16S ribosomal RNA". It matches the Rfam family "Bacterial small subunit ribosomal RNA", at positions 338 to 795 of the family's 1533-position model. The record is from RNAcentral.